This 253-nucleotide ribosomal RNA is filed under the name uncultured bacterium. RNAcentral describes it as "partial 16S ribosomal RNA". It matches the Rfam family "Bacterial small subunit ribosomal RNA", at positions 524 to 776 of the family's 1533-position model. The record is from RNAcentral.
UACGUAGGGUGCGAGCGUUGUCCGGAAUUACUGGGCGUAAAGAGCUCGUAGGUGGUUUGUCACGUUGUCCGUGAAAACUCACAGCUUAACUGUGGGCGUGCGGGCGAUACGGGCAGACUAGAGUACUGUAGGGGAGACUGGAAUUCCUGGUGUAGCGGUGGAAUGCGCAGAUAUCAGGAGGAACACCGGUGGCGAAGGCGGGUCUCUGGGCAGUAACUGACGCUGAGGAGCGAAAGCGUGGGGAGCGAACAGG